Molecule: ribosomal RNA, 450 nt
Filed under: uncultured bacterium
Lineage: Bacteria
Description: bacterial SSU rRNA
Rfam family: Bacterial small subunit ribosomal RNA
Source: RNAcentral
GUCCAGACUCCUACGGGAGGCAGCAGUGGGGAAUAUUGGGCAGUGGGCGCAAGCCUUACCCAGCAAUACCGCGUGAGUGAAGAAGGUCUUCGGAUUGUAAAGCUCUUUGAUCAGGGACGAACAGGUGACGGUACCUGAAGAACAAGCCCCAGCUAACUACGUGCCAGCAGCCGCGGUAAUACGGAGGGUGCGAGCGUUAAUCGGAAUUACUGGGCGUAAAGCGCUCGUAGGCGGUAUGUCAAGUCAAGGGUGAAAUCCCCGCGCUCAACGUGGGAACUGCCUUUGAAACUGGCAAACUGGAGUGUGUGAGAGGAUAGUGGAAUUCCAGGUGUAGGAGUGAAAUCCGUAGAUAUCUGGAGGAACAUCAGUGGCGAAGGCGACUAUCUGGCACAUAACUGACGCUAAGGAGCGAAAGCGUGGGUAGCAAACAGGAUUAGAUACCCCCGUACG